CCUACGGGGGGCAGCAGUGAGGAAUAUUGGUCAAUGGACGAGAGUCUGAACCAGCCAAGUAGCGUGAAGGAUGACUGCCCUAUGGGUUGUAAACUUCUUUUAUAUGGGAAUAAAAUGUUACACGAGUGGGACUUUGUAUGUACAAUAUGAAUAAGGAUCGGCUAACUCCGUGCCAGCAGCCGUGGUAAUACGGAGGAUCCGAGCGUUAUCCGGAUUCAUUGGGUUUAAAGGGAGCGUAGGUGGAUUGUUAAGUCAGUUGUGAAAGUUUGCGGCUCAACCGUAAAAUUGCAGUUGAAACUGGCAGUCUUGAGUACAGUAGGGGUAGGCGGAAUUCGUGGUGUAGCAGUGAAAUGCGUAGAUAUCGCGAAGAACUCCGAUUGCGAAGGCAGUUCACUGGACUGCAACUGACACUGAGGCUCGAAGGUGUGGGUAUCGAACAGGAUUAGAUACCCUGGUAGUC
This 460-nucleotide ribosomal RNA is filed under the name uncultured bacterium. RNAcentral's name for it is "partial 16S ribosomal RNA". It matches the Rfam family "Bacterial small subunit ribosomal RNA", at positions 338 to 795 of the family's 1533-position model. The record is from RNAcentral.